GUGCUAAGGUAGCGUAAUCACUUGUUUUUUAAUUGGGAACUGGUAUGAAAGGGUUAAUUGACCACGGUGUUUGUAAGUAAGUAGCUAAGUUUAAAGUCCAGGUAAAAAUUCUUGGAUGAGCUAAGGGACGAUAAGACCCUGGAAGCUUUAUAAACGGGAAGACAGUUGUUAUAAAGAAGAGCGGCAGUUGAUUGGGGCAAUUAAGAUAUUUAAAUUAUCUUUUUAAUAAAGAUCCUCUUGAUAGGGAGAAAAAGGGAUAGUUACUCCAGGGAUAACAGCGCAAUCAUUUUGGAGAGACCUUAUCGAUAAAGUAGUUUGCGACCUCGAUGUUGAAUUAAAGUAAUCCCCGUAGAGCAGAGACUAUGUAGGAGGGUUUGUUCAACCCUUAAAGUUUUACAUGAUCUGAGUUUCAAACCGGA
Molecule: ribosomal RNA, 419 nt
Filed under: Octopupilla felix
Lineage: Eukaryota; Metazoa; Arthropoda; Malacostraca; Amphipoda; Eoniphargidae
Description: partial 16S rRNA
Rfam family: Bacterial large subunit ribosomal RNA
Source: RNAcentral